GACGAACGCUGGCGGCGUGCUUAACACAUGCAAGUCGAACGGUGAAGCCCUUCGGGGUGGAUCAGUGGCGAACGGGUGAGUAACACGUGAGCAACCUGCCCCUGGCUCUGGGACAACCACUGGAAACGGUGGCUAAUACCGGAUACGACCCGCCUCGGCAUCGAGUGUGGGUGGAAAGUUUUUCGGCUGGGGAUGGGCUCGCGGCCUAUCAGCUUGUUGGUGAGGUGAAGGCUCACCAAGGCGACGACGGGUAGCCGGCCUGAGAGGGCGACCGGCCACACUGGGACUGAGACACGGCCCAGACUCCUACGGGAGGCAGCAGUGGGGAAUAUUGCACAGUGGGCGAAAGCCUGAUGCAGCGACGCCGCGUGAGGGAUGACGGCCUUCGGGUUGUAAACCUCUUUCAGCUCCGAAGAAGCGAAAGUGACGGUAGGAGCAGAAGAAGCACCGGCUAACUACGUG
RNAcentral lists this ribosomal RNA (462 nucleotides) under uncultured bacterium. RNAcentral's name for it is "partial 16S ribosomal RNA". It matches the Rfam family "Bacterial small subunit ribosomal RNA", at positions 28 to 507 of the family's 1533-position model. The record is from RNAcentral.